RNAcentral lists this ribosomal RNA (253 nucleotides) under uncultured bacterium. Its description in RNAcentral is "partial 16S ribosomal RNA". It matches the Rfam family "Bacterial small subunit ribosomal RNA", at positions 524 to 776 of the family's 1533-position model. The record is from RNAcentral.
UACGUAGGGUGCAAGCGUUAAUCGGAAUUACUGGGCGUAAAGGGUGCGUAGGUGGUCGUUUAAGUCCGUUGUGAAAUCCCUGGGCUCAACCUGGGAAUGGCAGUGGAUACUGGACGGCUAGAAUGCGGUAGAGGGUAGUGGAAUUCCCGGUGUAGCAGUGAAAUGCGUAGAUAUCAGGAGGAACACCAAUAGCGAAGGCAGCUCGCUGGGACGUUACUGACACUGAGGCGCGAAAGCGUGGGGAGCGAACAGG